RNAcentral lists this ribosomal RNA (253 nucleotides) under uncultured bacterium. Its description in RNAcentral is "partial 16S ribosomal RNA". It matches the Rfam family "Bacterial small subunit ribosomal RNA", at positions 524 to 776 of the family's 1533-position model. The record is from RNAcentral.
UACAGGGGGUGCGAGCGUUAAUCGGAAUUACUGGGCGUAAAGCGUGCGUAGACGGUUAUUUAAGUCGGAUGUGAAAGCCCCGGGCUCAACCUGGGAAUUGCAUUCGAGACUGAAUAGCUAGGGUACGGUAGAGGGAAGUGGAAUUUCCGGUGUAGCGGUGAAAUGCGUAGAUAUCGGAAGGAACAUCAGUGGCGAAAGCGACUUCCUGGACCAGUACCGACGUUCAGGCACGAAAGCGUGGGGAGCAAACAGG